ACGGAAGGCAGCAGUGAGGAAUAUUGGUCAAUGGACGCAAGUCUGAACCAGCCAUGCCGCGUGCAGGAAUAAGGCCCUAUGGGUCGUAAACUGCUUUUGUGGUGGAGCAAUAAGUCGUACGUGUACGGCGAUGAGAGUACAUCACGAAUAAGCAUCGGCUAACUCCGUGCCAGCAGCCGCGGUAAUACGGAGGAUGCAAGCGUUAUCCGGAUUUAUUGGGUUUAAAGGGUGCGUAGGCUGUGGUCCAAGUCAGGGGUGACAGCCCGGAGCUCAACUCCGGAACUGCCUUUGAUACUGGAUUGCUGGAAUACGGAUGCCGUGGGAGGAAUGAGUAGUGUAGCGGUGAAAUGCAUAGAUAUUACUCAGAACACCGAUUGCGAAGGCAUCUCACGAAUCCGUCAUUGACGCUGAGGCACGAAAGCGUGGGGAUCAAACAGGAUUAGAUACCCUGGUA
RNAcentral lists this ribosomal RNA (454 nucleotides) under uncultured Rikenellaceae bacterium. RNAcentral's name for it is "partial 16S ribosomal RNA". It matches the Rfam family "Bacterial small subunit ribosomal RNA", at positions 341 to 792 of the family's 1533-position model. The record is from RNAcentral. Lineage: Bacteria; Pseudomonadati; Bacteroidota; Bacteroidia; Bacteroidales; Rikenellaceae.